Molecule: ribosomal RNA, 429 nt
Filed under: Acidobacteriota bacterium
Lineage: Bacteria; Pseudomonadati; Acidobacteriota
Description: Acidobacteria bacterium partial 16S ribosomal RNA
Rfam family: Bacterial small subunit ribosomal RNA
Source: RNAcentral
UGGGGAAUUUUGGACAAUGGGGGAAACCCUGAUCCAGCCAUCCCGCGUGUGCGAUGAAGGCCUUCGGGUUGUAAAGCACUUUUGGCAGGAAAGAAACGUCAUGGGUUAAUACCCCGUGAAACUGACGGUACCUGCAGAAUAAGCACCGGCUAACUACGUGCCAGCAGCCGCGGUAAUACGUAGGGUGCAAGCGUUAAUCGGAAUUACUGGGCGUAAAGCGUGCGCAGGCGGUUCGGUAAGAAAGAUGUGAAAUCCCAGAGCUCAACUUUGGAACUGCAUUUUUAACUCCCGGGCUAGAGUGUGUCAGAGGGAGGUGGAGUUCCGCGUGUAGCAGUGAAAUGCGUAGAUAUGCGGAGGAACACCGAUGGCGAAGGCAGCCUCCUGGGAUAACACUGACGCUCAUGCACGAAAGCGUGGGGAGCAAACAGG